GUAGUUAGCCGGGGCUUCCUCCUUGGCUACCGUCACUUUCUUCGUCACCAAGGACAGAGGUUUACAAUCCGAAGACCUUCUUCCCUCACGCGGCGUUGCUGGGUCAGGCUUGCGCCCAUUGCCCAAUAUUCCCCACUGCUGCCUCCCGUAGGAGUCUGGACCGUGUCUCAGUUCCAGUGUGGCCGAUCAGCCUCUCAGCUCGGCUACCCAUCGUUGGCUAGGUGGGCCGUUACCCCGCCUACUACCUAAUGGGACGCGAACCCCUCCUUCUGCGGAUUGCUCCUUUGACCCCUGAGCCAUGCGACUCUGUGGUCUUAUGCGGUAUUAGCACUUGUUUCCAGGUGUUAUCCCCCUCAAAAGGGCAGGUUGUUCACGCGUUACUCACCCGUUCGCCACUAGCUAUAAAUCCGAAAACCUAUAGCCCGUUCGACUUGCAUGUGUUAGGCACGCCGCCAGCGUUCGUCCUCGAGCCACGAAUACAAACUACUGA
RNAcentral lists this ribosomal RNA (490 nucleotides) under uncultured bacterium. RNAcentral describes it as "partial 16S ribosomal RNA". The record is from RNAcentral.